UGGGGAAUAUUGCACAAUGGGCGCAAGCCUGAUGCAGCCAUGCCGCGUGUAUGAAGAAGGCCUUCGGGUUGUAAAGUACUUUCAGCAGUGAGGAAGGUUCAUGCGUUAAUAGCGUAUGGAUUUGACGUUAGCUGCAGAAGAAGCACCGGCUAACUCCGUGCCAGCAGCCGCGGUAAUACGGAGGGUGCGAGCGUUAAUCGGAAUUACUGGGCGUAAAGCGCAUGCAGGUGGUUUGUUAAGUCAGAUGUGAAAGCCCGGGGCUCAACCUCGGAACUGCAUUUGAAACUGGCAGGCUAGAGUACUGUAGAGGGGGGUAGAAUUUCAGGUGUAGCGGUGAAAUGCGUAGAGAUCUGAAGGAAUACCGGUGGCGAAGGCGGCCCCCUGGACAGAUACUGACACUCAGAUGCGAAAGCGUGGGGAGCAAACAGGAUUAGAUACCCCCGUAGUCC
RNAcentral lists this ribosomal RNA (449 nucleotides) under uncultured prokaryote. RNAcentral's name for it is "bacterial SSU rRNA". It matches the Rfam family "Bacterial small subunit ribosomal RNA", at positions 355 to 796 of the family's 1533-position model. The record is from RNAcentral.